AUGCAAAUUCUUCAAGAGCGCAACCAAGCAAACCAAGGCAACCAAGGCAACCAUCAGAAUCACUUUGCUACACUCAACCAGUUCCUUGCUAACCAGCCAAAGACUUUCAGCAAUUGUGUUGAGGCAACUGACGCUGAUGAUUGGCUCGUGGACUUGUGCAAGCAUUUCGAGUGCAGUAACGUCAGGCCUGAGGACUUUGUCAAGUUUGCUUCCUUCCAACUCAAAGACCAAGCUGCAGAAUGGUUUCAGCAGUACAAAGAUUCCAGAGGAGGCCGUGUGAUUACCUGGGAUGAAUUCCGUCAAGACUUCAAAGCUCAUCAUAUUCCUGAGAGCGUGGUUGAAAGCAAGCGUGAGGAAUUCUGCAACCUGAAGCAAGGCUCUAUGUCUGUCUAUGAGUACAACAAGAUGUUUCAGAAGCUCGCCCGCUUUGCUAAGCAGGACGUACCUGACGAGAAGAGCAUGAUAUACCAGUUCAGGGGUGGUCUCAGAGAAGAAAUCCAGUUAGCUCUUGUCCUCUUUGAGCCCAGGAGGUACGAUGAGUUUUACAACAUGGCAUUGAAGCAAGAGGCUGCUCAAUUGAAGUGUGAUGCUUCCAAGAAGCGAGUCAGAGAUGCUACUCCUUCUUCCUCAACUCAAGUGGCUAAGCAGCAGAAGUAUUGGCUUCCUCCUCCUCGUUUCAUCAGCCUUAUCAGUAGAGGAGCAAAGGUGGCAGUGGACAUUCCCACCCACCCAACCCUGGCUUUCAGAACAAGACUUCAUCUCAAGCUUCAAGAUCGAGUGCUCCGUAUCACCGUCCGCUUUCAGAGGUCACGUGCAACAAGUGCCAACAGAAGGGUCACUAUGCCAACAAAUGCUUCAAUCAGAGGCGCCUCCCUCCUCCUCCUCCUCCUCCUCCUCCUCCUGUGA
RNAcentral lists this ribosomal RNA (906 nucleotides) under Triticum aestivum (bread wheat). RNAcentral's name for it is "partial small subunit ribosomal RNA". Lineage: Eukaryota; Viridiplantae; Streptophyta; Magnoliopsida; Poales; Poaceae. The record is from RNAcentral.